GAUUUGAUAGAAGAUUCGGGAGGGUUUCUAUGAGCAUUGGUUUUGGGUGAUUUGGAUCUGUAUUGACUUUGUAAGAAUUUAGGAUUUAGGAUUUUAUUUGGAUUUAUUUAGGAUUUAAGAUUUAAUUAGUUUUGGCCUAAAGUUUGAAUGAAGUCCAAAAGGAUUUUAACUAGGAUUAAAUUAAGAUUGAAUUGAGAUGUAUUUGAGAUAUAUUUGUGAUCAUUUUAAUAUUCAAUCAUCUUUAGUAAAUUAGAUCUUUGUAGUGGCUAUUGAUAGAUACCUA
This 283-nucleotide long non-coding RNA is filed under the name Physcomitrium patens. Its description in RNAcentral is "long non-coding RNA (PPAT_LNC001670)". Lineage: Eukaryota; Viridiplantae; Streptophyta; Bryopsida; Funariales; Funariaceae. The record is from RNAcentral.